UGGGGAAUAUUGCACAAUGGGCGAAAGCCUGAUGCAGCAACGCCGCGUGAGCGAUGAAGGUCUUCGGAUCGUAAAGCUCUGUCCUCAAGGAAGAUAAUGACGGUACUUGAGGAGGAAGCCCCGGCUAACUACGUGCCAGCAGCCGCGGUAAUACGUAGGGGGCUAGCGUUAUCCGGAAUUACUGGGCGUAAAGGGUGCGUAGGCGGUCUUUCAAGCCAGAAGUGAAAGGCUACGGCUCAACCGUAGUAAGCUUUUGGAACUGUAAGACUUGAGUGCAGGAGAGGAGAGUGGAAUUCCUAGUGUAGCGGUGAAAUGCGUAGAUAUUAGGAGGAACACCAGUUGCGAAGGCGGCUCUCUGGACUGUAACUGACGCUGAGGCACGAAAGCGUGGGGAGCAAAC
This 400-nucleotide ribosomal RNA is filed under the name uncultured bacterium. Its description in RNAcentral is "bacterial SSU rRNA". It matches the Rfam family "Bacterial small subunit ribosomal RNA", at positions 355 to 773 of the family's 1533-position model. The record is from RNAcentral.